This is a long non-coding RNA of Rhododendron vialii, 1215 nucleotides long. RefSeq lists it as uncharacterized. The transcript is spliced from 2 exons. The record is from RefSeq and is a predicted model, not a curated record. Lineage: Eukaryota; Viridiplantae; Streptophyta; Magnoliopsida; Ericales; Ericaceae.
GCUUUGGUUUCACUAUUUUUGAGUUUAAGAUGAGCGAGUUAUGAUUUUUCAAUCAAUUUUACUUAUUUUCGCGUAGAAUCUGACAGCACCGGCGGACUUUGGUAAAAUAGCCAUAACUUCUAGCUCGGGACUCGAAAUGAUGCACCGUUUGUUUUGUUAGAAACUAGACAUAUAAAGCUUUCUAACGAUACAUCCCAUGAAUCAUGGGUAUGUCCGAGCGAUAACAGAUUUGCACACAAAACUGACCCAAAUUCUGCUUUGCACCAGUUUCACUGAUACGCUGAGCUAUAAUCACAAAGCCAUAGUAAGGUUAUCCGAACUCCGUUUUUGAUGUAUGACCUAUGGAUCAAAGAAAAAGAAGUAUACUUUUCAAUGGUUUAAGUGUCGUCCUUGAAUUAGCGUUGUUUAAUUGGAUAUAGUCUAAUGUAAAGGAUUUAACUUUGCCAAUUUGACAUGUGGGGAUACAAUGGAUUGAUUUAGAUGAUUAGGUGUUGGAUUAAAGAGAACUUGUGGUGUGUAAGAGAUAUGCAUUGUUGGUGUAUUGAUCAUAAAUAGAAUCAUUGAGUAUUGUCUAAACAUGUUUCCGUUUGAUUGAAUGUUUUAGGAAGUUCGAGUCGUCACGUGGAUCGAGGUGAGUGAUUUAAUACUUAAAUUACAUGAUUUUGAACUUGUUUUCUUUAACGAACUUAUUUGAACAAAUUUUAUGAAUUGUGUACUCCAUGGAAUAACAAUGGAAGGUGGAACUAUUUGUGAAAUAUUUGCGAAUCUAUUUAAUGGCAUUCCCAACGUUCGGUCUUGCUAGGGGACGGCUUAAUGGCUAGCAAGGGUGUUUGAGGUUGGUAUGUGUUUUGGGAUAAUGCGUAGACGUCUGGCUUAUCCACUACUGGGGACGCCCGGUAGCUUUGAAUUUUGAAUAGCGGAAUGUGCAUUAUAUUUGACUUAUGAUUUUGAGUUCUUUGUUUUGAAAUAUUAUCAAAUUAUUUUGCAUUGUCCAUGGAAGGCAUGUGAGUUAAGUAUUAAUCAUUCACACGAGCUUUGGCUUAAGUAUUUUCUUUUCCACCUUUCAGGAAGCGACGCAUAGUGUGGCAGAGUGUUUACUUUAGUUUGUAAAUUUGUAGGUAAGCACAGCUCUGAGAGGUUUAUCCUUUUGGUUUGUAAACCUAUGUAAGACUUUGGUUUGUUAUCAAUAAAAGUUAACUUUUGCUUCCGCUGUUA